GACGAACGCUGGCGGCGUGCUUAACACAUGCAAGUCGAACGAGAGCGUAGAGAAAGCUUGCUUUUUCUACAAUCUAGUGGCAAACGGGUGAGUAACGCGUAAACAACCUGCCCUACGGAUGGGGACAACAGCUGGAAACGGCUGCUAAUACCGAAUACGUUCCGAAAGUCGCAUGACUAUCGGAAGAAAGGAUGGCCUCUAUUUAUAAGCUAUCGCCGGAGGAGGGGUUUGCGUCUGAUUAGCUAGUUGGAGGGGUAACGGCCCACCAAGGCGACGAUCAGUAGCCGGUCUGAGAGGACGAACGGCCACAUUGGAACUGAGACACGGUCCAGACUCCUACGGGAGGCAGCAGUGGGGAAUCUUCCGCAAUGGGCGAAAGCCUGACGGAGCAACGCCGCGUGAGUGAAGACGGCCUUCGGGUUGUAAAGCUCUGUUAUACGGGACGAAUAAUCUUGUGGUUAAUACCCAUGAGAAGUGACGGUACCGUAAGAGAAAGCCACGGCUAACUACGUG
This 513-nucleotide ribosomal RNA is filed under the name uncultured bacterium. Its description in RNAcentral is "partial 16S ribosomal RNA". It matches the Rfam family "Bacterial small subunit ribosomal RNA", at positions 28 to 507 of the family's 1533-position model. The record is from RNAcentral.